CCCUUAGAUGUCCUGGGCUGCACGCGCGCUACACUGAUGUGUCCAGUAAGCACCUAACCUCUUCCGAAAGGAACGGGUAACCUUUGCAAAGCACAUCGUGAUGGGGAUAUAUUAUUGCAAUUAUUAGUCUUGAACGAGGAAUUCCUAGUAAGCACAAGUCAUCAGCUUGUGUUGAUUACGUCCCUGCCCUUUGUACACACCGCCCGUCGCUCCUACCGAUUGAAUGUUCCGGUGAGCUCUUCGGACUGCGCGGUCUGCAGUUUCUGCGUUCCGUGCGGAAAGUUGCGCAAACCUUAACAUUUAGAGGAAGGAGAAGUCGUAACA
This 324-nucleotide ribosomal RNA is filed under the name uncultured eukaryote. Its description in RNAcentral is "partial 18S ribosomal RNA". It matches the Rfam family "Eukaryotic small subunit ribosomal RNA", at positions 1470 to 1796 of the family's 1831-position model. The record is from RNAcentral.